Long non-coding RNA from Panicum hallii, 3007 nucleotides. RefSeq lists it as uncharacterized. The record is from RefSeq and is a predicted model, not a curated record. The transcript has 2 exons. Lineage: Eukaryota; Viridiplantae; Streptophyta; Magnoliopsida; Poales; Poaceae.
GUUCUGGAACCCGCUGUUUGUCUGGUGCUAGAAUUGUUGUCCUCAAACGAUGGUGGUGAUUUCGUUGCGGGCUUAUGUCGCUAGGGCGGGAUGUUUGGCUUCCAAUUAAGUUGAUUUGUUGUUUGUGACGUGAUUUGUGUGUCCUGCUGUUGCAUUUGGCUGCUAAAUCGGCUGUGUGCUCUUAGGUUCAAAUUAGUCAGGACUGUAUUAGGGUUUCCAUUAGGCUGUAUGUUAGGCACACUCUCCUGCUUUAUUACUGUACCUUGAAAUGUAGAAUACAUGGAUAAUGAAGGGUAAGUGGAAAGUGAAACAAAUCUCGUAAUUCUGACUAUUAAACUGCAAGGAAUAGACACUUUGAAAUGUUUUAAGCCAAAAAUUGAACCUAGGAUGGAGGAAUGAACCUUGUCAAAAAGCCCAACCAAGUGUGCUGAACAGUGACCACUAGCCUGUUUUCUGCAAGUUAUACUGUGAUACUUAUACUGAUAUGCUCUAUUUCAAAUAUUUUGGCCUUUACUGUAACUUUCAUGUGGCUUAAUAAGAUCUGAAAGAAAUUGAGGUUUACUAAUUAAAUUGUCUUGUAUAGUAGGUCUUUCAAUUGAAGUUGGUAUUCUAGGUGCUAAAUUUGUCCAUUUAUAACUUUUUUCGGGGUUUCCUUGGUUUUAGGAGAUAUACUUGGACCAAGACUUCAUGUUGUGUGAUUCAAAUGUUUGGUCAGCACAUCUAGGUGGAGCAUUUUCUGCCCUGCUUUCAUAAUUGCAUUAUACUUCUGAUAAGAUUAACCAAAAAAAAUCAAAAAGAUUGACAAAAAAAAUGGACUUCAAUUUCUAGUGGUGAAUUGUAAGAAUUAGUCUAUUCACUGGUAUUACUUUGCCUGUGGUUAAUUGUUGGAGUGGUAUCAUUUAGGCAAUUCUAUUUCAAAAUUUCUCUCACAUGUCACGUUUUCAUUCUUAUUUACCGCUACGGCAAUGUGCAAAGUGCGUUUGAAAGCAUUCAUGAGUGUUGCUGUUGAUUUUGGUUGGCAGAUUGCAUAUGCAUAAUUUCGAUGUAAACUACAUGAUAAAGUAUAUUUUCUUUUACGGAAACUUGCAUGUAAGAUGCACCCAAAUAACCAGGCUUUAUGAGUUCACUUCUGGUCUUCUCAUUUUCCCCUUCUUUUCUUUCUUUUUUGUUUCCACUUCUUUUAUGGCUCAUUAAGUUACUGCUUACCACGCAACUGUAUCUACCAUGGUGUUCUUUCAUCAAUACAUGCUUAUCUGCUAUGGGAUGCCUACUUCUUCAUAAACGGGGUGAUAGAAGAAUCCUAUUGGGUGUUUUAUGGUUAAGAACUAUCCUACCUAUUUUAAGGGUUGAAGAUUUUGUGUUGUUCAAAAGAUAGUCAACCUUUUCUUAAUCAGAUAAAUUUUGGGAACUCGAGGUUUAGUCAAUGGUUGGUAAUUUUCAUGUCCAUCCAAUGCUGCAAUAUUUUAUUGGCAAAUGAUGUAAUUUUUUUUCUAGUCCAUGAGCACACUGAUGGUGAUAUCCUGUUUGACCCUCAUUUACGUGGUAGGUCCUGCACUCCAUUUUCUGAUUCCAGUGGUUGUGGGACGGGACAUAUUGAAUUGCCUUAUGAUCUGUUAUUUCAUUUUGGUAUGUUCAACACUUCAAAUGACUUAGAUUCGAGUCUUUGUUUAUGAUGCUUUUCAUGAUGCAUUUUGACUUGCUCAUGCUGCCUAAGUUCUUACAAUGAGUAGCUAGGAGAUUCUCUGGUUUCUACAGAAGUUCAUGGAUAUGGCUGAUAUGAUGGCAACCAUAGGAUAAUCCUCAGAUACUCUUGCUGGUAUCCCUAGGAUCAACUAUCAUUACAUGUCACACCUUGAAAGCUUAAGAUACCAGGUGCUGACUCAUAUCUUAAUCUCUGAUGAAUGGUUGCAAUGGAUGGUGUGCCAUCCUUUUAGGAUGUAGGCUAUGAAGAGUCACCACCUUAAGCAUAAAAAAAUUGCGCAUAAAAUUUAUUAAAAAUGCGAGGAGCAUAAGUUCGUGAUGUGCAAUAAAACCUAAACAUGUUGAUGUGACAACAAACAUAAGGGCAGAUAUGUAUGUCUUAGUGCCUCAUCUUUCAGUUUUUCUAAUGGUUAAGGAUAGUGGUUCACAAACUAAAGCUCUCUUUUCGCAGUUUUUUUAUCUAUUACCCUCUUCUGACAUCCUGAUUGACCCUCAUUUUACAUAGUAGUUAUCCUAUUAUGAAUUUGUUGCUGAAAGAUCCAGCAAUGUUCUGGCUUUAUAUACUUCGUCACUGAAGAGCUUGAUAAAACAAGUUACAAAGGUUACAGGACAAAGACUAUAAGAGAGUGAAAGCAGGGGGUGCGAGGUGGGAGAUAGUUUUGAUCUUUUGUCGCACCCACUACCCUUCAAUUUCUGAUCUAAUAACAAGCUCAGCGGCUUUUGAUUUUUCAGCAUAAAGGUUAUAAGGCAAUACCACAACGGUGAAAACAUCUUGAACCACUGAUUUCUUUUCUAAAAAAAUGAUUGAUUGUUUUACAAUUUUCACCUAUGAUAAUAUAGAAUGGGUUAGGAUACUCGGCGCUAGCCUGUUCUUUCUCUUCUUGCCCGUUAAUUCAUUUAUCUGCCAAACUACCUUUUGUUUCGUAAUAUUUUUCAUCUUACAGAAGGCGUCAUAGAAUCAUGAUGAGGAUUGAAUUUUUUUUGGUGGGAAAAAGGGUUCAGUUUGUGGUAGUUGAGUUGAACGUCCUCCUUUGAUGCGAACCUACGAAUUCCAAGGAACCAAAUGGUGGAGUUGAAAAAAAUUGAUGGUGAUUCUUUAUUUUCGUAGUUAUAUGCAGGGUUGGGUACUGAGGUUACCUCAUUUCUUUCAGCAUGUAAUCUUGUGUAAUGGGGGCCUUUCUAUUUGUUCUGGUUGCAUGUGGUAUUUUUUUUGUAUGAUAGAUUUAGGAGUCACUAUACUUAGUUUUUUUCCCUUACGAGGAUGAGCUUCAUUAGUUAUUACGAGGUCAAAAUUGAAUAUCGCAAA